CGAGAAUCCAUAGAGAACAUGGGUGACAAUGGAGGAAAAAAUGUGCCGCAGUGUCAUCCAUCAUUAAUGUAACCUGCUAUUGAUAAGCUUUAUGUAGGGGACAAGAAGCACGAAAGCACACAGUUUACACUGAUCAUUCAUUAAAAACCCAAUUUCACCAUGCUGCAUUGUUCUUAACUGUCCAUGAGCUCUGGAAAAAUAUAUAUAAAUAAAAGUAAAUAAUAAUAAUAAUAAUAAUAAUAAUAAAUUCACCAAUCACCACAACACAUCCGCACAACAGCACUAUGUCCCAAAUGCCUUCCCCUUCAGGACUGCUUCUCCUCACUCCACACUUGGAAGAACGUAUAGAGCUUAGGGUGCCAUUUUGGGCACAGCCUUACACCUCUCCUCCGGUGACGUCACACAGUAAAGGACACAGAAACAAGAUAGAGAGCACGUGUUCAUUUCCAAGCUAUCCUACUCUUUAUUUAAUGCAAAUUACAGUACCAGGUAACUAUUCUCUGAAUCCGAGUCACACCGAGGACCAAAACGGACAUUAUUUACAAAGAAAGGGAGACACUUAGCAUAUCUUUACAGAAAAGAUGUAUAUAUUAAAAAAAAAAAAAAAAAAAAAAAAAAAAAAAUCAGUCACAAACAGAAGCAUUCAAGUAGUAGUAAUGUUACACAGGUUGUAUUUUUUCUUUAUUUUCACUUUAAAUCUUUCACUUUUUUUUCUUGACGCUGUAUGUAAUGUAAUGUAAGAUAAUGUCUGAAUAUAGCUAAUGUUUUUUUUUUUUUGGCUUUUCCAUUUUUAAACCUGUCUUUACUCUUAUUUAAAUUUUAGUUUAGUCACAAGAAGUGGUCACACGGUUCAUGGAAAGUAACAUGUCUAUGAAUGCAUAACUUACAAAGCGAGCUUUACACAGGAGGAGGAGGGGGUGGGAGCUGGAGGAAUGGAGGAUUGUGGGUGCUACGUGACGCCCUUGAAGUGCUGCUCUCAGCCGGCCAAACGCAAAUGUCUGCGCUGAGGAGUUAUUGCCCUUAGGGAUGACACUAUGACCUGGGGCUGAAGACAGACUCAGUUGUCCUCCCCUCACUCUCUCUCACACACACACACACACACACACACACAGCAUACCGUCAUAAUAUGAUCUCUGACAAAUACCCAGCCCCCCCCCCCCCCCCCCCAAAAAAAAAGUUAAUUAAGCAAUAUCAGACGAGCGUGAGUGCUUUUGUAGUGAAUAUCAGCACAAGUGUGAUUCAGGUGCAGGUAAUCACAGGUAAUCAUGCAGUGCUAAUAUUCAAUACAACGUGACUUCGAGUGUGAUACUGUUUUUAUACAACAGUUCUAUAAAAAAAGAAGAAAAAAAGAAGAAAAGAAAUGAAUACCAAGUAAUUGACAUUUCAAACAACAUGCCCAAAUAUUUUGUUUCGUUUUGCUCCGUCAUUGACGACAGUUCCUAAAGAAGCUGUAGCUAGAUAGUGCUGCAUGUCACCAUGCCAACACUCAGAUUAACUGACAGCCCGUAGUAAGUGUAGUAACAGUUUCAAUGUAAUGAACUGUCGCUCGGUUUGGAAUUGUAUGUAGUGAACACACACAAGUGACUUGAUACGAACGGUGAAAUGUCCCGGUGCUGUUAUACUAAAUAUCAGCACUCUUGCAACACCACUGCUCCAGUCAAAUUAGUGGACCCAAAAUACCUGCUUUAUAAAACUUUAUACGGUUGUUAGUUGUUGUUUUUAGAAAACUCAGCCGCUUACCUUAAUUUAACAAUGUGUAUAAUUAAAAACAUCCAAAAUACCUACUUUGUUGCAUGUAUUGCAUGUAACCUAAUGAUUUGAGCAGUUAUUGGAUUUACAUUUCUCUGAGUAUCGUUAAAACCCAUGCAGCGCAGCAGCCUGGCAUGUUAACGUUGCCUGGAUUAGGCUACAAAUCAUAAAAAGUAAAAUGGGUUUUAAAAAAAAAAAAAAACAACCACCAAAAAACAUUAAAUCAGUUCCAUUUUCUGAAGCAGUGCAUCACAAUUAGCAAAUUUUACUUGGGCCUCUAACUCCAAUGCCAGAAGAGAAUUUAUUUUAUCCGCUCAAAAUCCAGCCCUGGUGCCCCCCCCCCCCCCGGAUCGUAUUAUGAGUCAUUAAAAUAUUACAAAUGAAACGGUUUAUAAUGUAAAUAAAGAGGUAAGCCAGAAGAGCUUUAACACUGACCGACCAACAGCACACACUCCGAGCGUCACCGAGAGAGUUACAGUACUGUGUGAGUAAAGGAUGAGGUUCAGGGAGGGGAGCAGAGGAGAUUGGGGAAAGGGGGUGAAUGGAAGCAAAGGCACUCCAAACUCUAGAUACACUAUACAGUUACUACAUAUCGUUACAAUAUAGCUGGCACCUACUGUACAGAGAAGAUUGAACUAUAUGGCUGGAGAAAACUCCUCAUCUACAGUUUCCAACAAACAGUUCAGAUUCACCCUGAUCUUUUUUUUUAUUAUUAUUAUUUUCUUACCCCCCCCCCCCCCCCCUUUUAUGACAUUUUUUUCCUUUUUUUUCCGUUUUUUUUUUUUUUUUGCUUGGUAACAGUUCUCAGGUCAGCAUAUGUACAUACCAUAAACAAGAAAACACACACACACGCACGCACGCAAAUUAAAAACAAAACAUACAAGCCAGAAUUUGGCAAGGAGCAACUGUGCUGUAUUGUAUUUACACCUUUUGUUGUCUUUUCAAAACUGUUACAUUUGCGUAUUAAGACAUUCUGAUUAAAAUAUACAGUUUUUCCAUUUAAGAUGACGUUAAAAUUGGAAAAAGGGAGAAAAAAGUGUAACAAAUGUUCAAGUAGUGGUUACAACAACUACACAGCAUCGACGAUUUAACACAGAAAACAGGAAAUGCUCAGCUCCUCAGUUCACAGUGCUGAACAAUCGGCAUCAUCUUUAUUUUAAGAAACACUGAGUCACGUGACGCCUCAGCUAACGAUGCACCAUUCAUGUUCAACUCGAACCUAACACAAUCGCAUCGAAUCUAUCUUUCAAUGGAUUGGUUUAUUCAAUCAAAAAAAAAAAAAAAACCCUGCUUUUUGACUGAAUUCGUGGUGUGACCAACAAACAAAGAAACCUGAGGACUACUGAUACUAACGGAGAGGAAAAGCACGAGUGUUAAACUCAGGAUUAGAACAUAAUCUACAGUUCUACGGCUCUGAACUGAAAUUUUUAGAACAUCUGCUAGAAAUUACAGCAUUCCUGCUCCGGAAACACAUUUCAUUUAUUCGUGUAUACAUACAUAAUAUCUCAGUCAGCAGCAGAUUGACUGCCACACAAAAGCUCCGCCCCAGAUGCCUGUGAAGUGUUCUGAACCAAUCACGUAUAACGCUUUGUUGAUUCAGAAUACAAUGAACCCAGAGGCGGAGCUUUUAUUCAUAUGCACACAUGUGCACGCACACACGCACGCAUAUAUAUAUAUAUUUUUUUUUACAUAACGCAAAGAAAUAUAUAAACUGUGUAUGUAUUUAUAUAUGUAUAUAUAAUACAAAAACACAGAAAAGGAGACAAAGAAGUCUCUUGUGUCAAUCAAAAAAGUCUGCCCCUCCCCCACCCACCCCCUUAAAAUCCCCCUGUUCAAUAUAAAAUAAAAUAACAUAAAAUCAUAUGUAAAUAUUUCAAACUCCUAACUAAAUCUUCCAGAGCGCCUCGAGAUUUCUUUUUGUUUUCUUUUGGCUUUGUUGCUGAAUCGUGCACGCUUGUUGUGUUACUUCAUUUGUUACGCAGUCCGAG
Long non-coding RNA from Ictalurus punctatus (channel catfish), 3737 nucleotides. NCBI's taxonomy places the organism in Eukaryota, Metazoa, Chordata, Actinopteri, Siluriformes, Ictaluridae. The record is from Ensembl.